UACGUAGGGGGCAAGCGUUGUCCGGAAUCAUUGGGCGUAAAGAGCGCGUAGGCGGCCCGGUAAGUCCGCUGUGAAAGUCAAGGGCUCAACCCUUGAAUGCCGGUGGAUACUGUCGGGCUAGAGUCCGGAAGAGGCGAGUGGAAUUCCUGGUGUAGCGGUGAAAUGCGCAGAUAUCAGGAGGAACACCAAUGGCGAAGGCGGGAUCCUGGGCCAGUACUGACGCUGAGGAGCGAAAGCGUGGGGAGCAAACAGG
Molecule: ribosomal RNA, 253 nt
Filed under: uncultured bacterium
Lineage: Bacteria
Description: partial 16S ribosomal RNA
Rfam family: Bacterial small subunit ribosomal RNA
Source: RNAcentral